RNAcentral lists this ribosomal RNA (460 nucleotides) under uncultured bacterium. RNAcentral's name for it is "bacterial SSU rRNA". It matches the Rfam family "Bacterial small subunit ribosomal RNA", at positions 28 to 507 of the family's 1533-position model. The record is from RNAcentral.
GACGAACGCUGGCGGCGUGCCUAACACAUGCAAGUCGAACGGGGUUAAGAGCUUCGGCUUUUAACUUAGUGGCGAACGGGUGAGUAACGCGUGAGAAACCUGCCUUUCAGUGGGGGACAACAGUUGGAAACGACUGCUAAUACCGCAUAUGAGCGUAGCUGAAAUGCUAUUCUUGAAAACUCCGGUGCUUAAGGAUGAGCCUGCAUCUGAUUAGCUAGUUGGGGGUNUAAUGGACCACCAAGGCGACGAUCAGUAGCUGGUUUGAGAGGAUGAUCAGCCACAAUGGGACUGAGACACGGCCCAUACUCCUACGGGAGGCAGCAGUAGGGAAUUUUGCGCAAUGGGCGAAAGCCUGACGCAGCAACGCCGCGUGAUUGGAUGAAGCCCUUCGGGUGUAAAGAUCUGUCAGUGGGGACGAAACUUGACGGUACCCACAGAGGAAGCAUCGGCUAACUCCGUG